RNAcentral lists this long non-coding RNA (420 nucleotides) under Ananas comosus (pineapple). RNAcentral's name for it is "long non-coding RNA (ACOM_LNC016961)". Lineage: Eukaryota; Viridiplantae; Streptophyta; Magnoliopsida; Poales; Bromeliaceae. The record is from RNAcentral.
AGUCAAUUUCCUAAAAAAAAUAUAAUAAUAAUAAUGUGAUGAGUAGAGAAUAUUUUAUAUAUAAUUUUAACAAUUUCGCCUUCUGCGUCGCAUUUGCGAUAAAACUGAUACAUGUCACUGGCGGGAUAUAUGUUAGAGUCAGAGAUUCGAAUCUCUUUAUGAUCAGUUUAAAUUUGAGGUUUAUGUCUUUAGCGUCCAGAAGCUAGCUUCCUGUGCUAAACAUAAAGGUUUAGUUAGGUUUUGGUACCUACAUUUUCGACAGUUUUCAAAGAACGUCGUCAUAUGAACGUUCGAAUUUAAAAAAAAAUUCAUGAUACUUUAUAGUAUCAAAAUAUAUCUUAUCGAUGCAUGGCAUAAGUAUCAGUAUAUAUAUAUACACGUAGCAACUCUUUAAUAUUUGCGGAUACUUUUGCUUACGCU